RNAcentral lists this ribosomal RNA (478 nucleotides) under uncultured bacterium. RNAcentral describes it as "partial 16S ribosomal RNA". It matches the Rfam family "Bacterial small subunit ribosomal RNA", at positions 28 to 523 of the family's 1533-position model. The record is from RNAcentral.
GACGAACGCUGGCGGCGUGCUUAACACAUGCAAGUCGAACGGUAAGGCCUUUCGGGGUACACGAGUGGCGAACGGGUGAGUAACACGUGGGUGAUCUGCUCUGCACUUCGGGAUAAGCCUGGGUAACUGGGUCUAAUACCGGAUAGGACCCUGGGAUGCAUGUCCAGGGGUGGAGAGCUUUUGCGGUGCGGGAGGGGCCCGCGGCCUAUUAGCUUGUUGGUGGGGUGAUGGCCUACCAAGGCGACGACGGGUAGCCGGCCUGAGGGGGUGACCGGCCACACUGGGACUGAGAUACGGCCCAGACUCCUACGGGAGGCAGCAGUGGGGAAUAUUGCACAAUGGGCGCAAGCCUGAUGCAGCGACGCCGCGUGAGGGAUGACGGCCUUCGGGUUGUAAACCUCUUUCAGCACCGACGAAGCGCAAGUGACGGUAGGUGCAGAAGAAGGACCGGCCAACUACGUGCCAGCCGCCGCCGUAA